CUGUGCUGUACUGGAGGAUCCUCACUGUAAACUGGAGAUACUGUGGUUGGAUUAUUGUGGCGUCACAGAAGAUGGUUGUGCUGCUCUGGCUUCAGCUCUGAGAUCAAACCCCUCACACCUGAGAGAACUGAAUUUGAAGUCGAAUAAUCUAGAAAAAUCAGAAGUAAAGAUACUCUCUGAUCUGAAAGAUGAUCCACGUUAUAAACUGGAGACAUUAGACUACUGACUCUCAGUGUUGAGAUGUCAGUCCAGUUUCCUCAGGAUCAGCUGAUGGUGAAUAAGAGCCGCUAUAUAACAAAUAAAUAUAAUAUAUAUUUAUUUGUUACCCCUUCAUCCUAGUACAUCCCUGCAUCUUACUCAAUCCUAUUCCAUUAUCAUUUAUAGCACAAUUGUUUAUACACUUAUUUAUCUGCAA
Molecule: long non-coding RNA, 415 nt
Organism: Cyprinus carpio (common carp)
Lineage: Eukaryota; Metazoa; Chordata; Actinopteri; Cypriniformes; Cyprinidae
Exons: 3
Source: RefSeq, a predicted model, not a curated record